This 465-nucleotide ribosomal RNA is filed under the name Vreelandella stevensii. Its description in RNAcentral is "partial 16S ribosomal RNA". It matches the Rfam family "Bacterial small subunit ribosomal RNA", at positions 338 to 795 of the family's 1533-position model. The record is from RNAcentral. Lineage: Bacteria; Pseudomonadati; Pseudomonadota; Gammaproteobacteria; Oceanospirillales; Halomonadaceae.
CCUACGGGUGGCAGCAGUGGGGAAUAUUGGACAAUGGGCGAAAGCCUGAUCCAGCCAUGCCGCGUGUGUGAAGAAGGCCUUCGGGUUGUAAAGCACUUUCAGUGGGGAAGAAAGCCUUGGGGCUAAUACCCUCGAGGAAGGACAUCACCCACAGAAGAAGCACCGGCUAACUCCGUGCCAGCAGCCGCGGUAAUACGGAGGGUGCGAGCGUUAAUCGGAAUUACUGGGCGUAAAGCGCGCGUAGGCGGUCUGAUAAGCCGGUUGUGAAAGCCCCGGGCUCAACCUGGGAGCGGCAUCCGGAACUGUCAGGCUAGAGUGCAGGAGAGGAAGGUAGAAUUCCCGGUGUAGCGGUGAAAUGCGUAGAGAUCGGGAGGAAUACCAGUGGCGAAGGCGGCCUUCUGGACUGACACUGACGCUGAGGUGCGAAAGCGUGGGUAGCAAACAGGAUUAGAUACCCGGGUAGUC